CCCUUAGAUGUUCUGGGCUGCACGCGCGCUACACUGAUGCAUCCAACAAGUUUUCUCCCUUGUUCGGUAGGACUGGGUAAUCUUUUGAGUAUGCAUCGUGAUGGGGAUAGAUUAUUGCAAUUAUUAGUCUUGAACGAGGAAUUCCUAGUAAGCACAAGUCAUCAGCUUGUGUUGAUUACGUCCCUGCCCUUUGUACACACCGCCCGUCGCUCCUACCGAUUGAAUGUUCCGGUGAGCUCUUCGGACUGCGCGGUCUGCAGUUUCUGCGUUCCGUGCGGAAAGUUGCGCAAACCUUAACAUUUAGAGGAAGGAGAAGUCGUAACA
Molecule: ribosomal RNA, 324 nt
Filed under: uncultured eukaryote
Lineage: Eukaryota
Description: partial 18S ribosomal RNA
Rfam family: Eukaryotic small subunit ribosomal RNA
Source: RNAcentral